UUUUUUUUUUUUUUUUUUCACAAUAAAUUAUUUUAUGUUAAAAUUCGAAAGUCAAUGCGAGAGGAAGGGUUGCAAGUUGCGACAAGCUUGGAUUGCAGUCUAUUUUACCUGAUCUGAGCCCACUGUGUCUCUUAGUUUUUGAGAUGUGAUUGCCCAUAUAUUCUUUAUACUAUGCAAUUGCGUAGGAAUGUGAUUGUGGAGCAUAAUGACGGAAAUUGGCUUCAUCCAUCGACGGAUUUUUGUUAAAAGAUUAUUCUUCAUUUGUUCGAAAAAA
RNAcentral lists this unclassified non-coding RNA (274 nucleotides) under Hevea brasiliensis (rubber tree). The record is from RNAcentral. Lineage: Eukaryota; Viridiplantae; Streptophyta; Magnoliopsida; Malpighiales; Euphorbiaceae.